UACGAAGGGGGCUAGCGUUGCUCGGAAUCACUGGGCGUAAAGGGUGCGUAGGCGGGUCUUUUAAGUCAGAGGUGAAAUCCUGGAGCUCAACUCCAGAACUGCCUUUGAUACUGAGGAUCUUGAGUACGGGAGAGGUGAGUGGAACUGCGAGUGUAGAGGUGAAAUUCGUAGAUAUUCGCAAGAACACCAGUGGCGAAGGCGGCUCACUGGCCCGUUACUGACGCUGAGGCACGAAAGCGUGGGGAGCAAACAGG
This 254-nucleotide ribosomal RNA is filed under the name uncultured bacterium. Its description in RNAcentral is "partial 16S ribosomal RNA". It matches the Rfam family "Bacterial small subunit ribosomal RNA", at positions 524 to 776 of the family's 1533-position model. The record is from RNAcentral.